AACGGCUAUACCAUGGUGAAUAUCAGUUCUCGUUAGAUCACCGAAGUCAAGCAUCAUUGGGCGCGGUCAGUACUUGGGUGGGUGACCACCUGGGAACACCGCGUGCCGUU
Molecule: ribosomal RNA, 110 nt
Filed under: Caerostris darwini
Lineage: Eukaryota; Metazoa; Arthropoda; Arachnida; Araneae; Araneidae
Source: RNAcentral